This is an RNA transcript of Hemibagrus wyckioides, 2767 nucleotides long. It is a transcript of the gene named caseinolytic mitochondrial matrix peptidase chaperone subunit Xb, with no coding region annotated. Lineage: Eukaryota; Metazoa; Chordata; Actinopteri; Siluriformes; Bagridae. The transcript has 13 exons. The record is from RefSeq and is a predicted model, not a curated record.
CAUGUGAAGAAGAACCGCAGCGAGUGUUUACUGAGAGACUCCGGAGAUUACACAACCCUCUGCUCUCACUGAGGAAAACUCGCGUUAGGGGAAUAUACUUGAUCUUUAUCAUUCCGUUAAAUCGGCAUGAAGUAUUUUAUAAACUGCACACUUCCCCCUUUAUUAAUAUAGCUUUAUUAGAGUUUAGUUUAUUGAGGCGCUGGACAGGAGCUGUCAGUGACCGGUGUGAUGAGAACUCGGACACUGCUGCUGCUUCCUCCUGUAACUAGAGAGAGACUGGUUCACCUUCAGACUCCUCGGCCUGAUAUCCAUAGGAAUAGUGACAUAAAUAAUAGAGCUGAUAAAAUAAAUAAAUAAAGCUGGGUUUAAGUGUGAGUUUCAGAGCUCCUGUCUAACUCUUAGCUUUUGUCCACAUCCUGACCCAGAAGAUGUCCUGUCCAUGCAGAUCUGCGGCCAGGAGACUCUUCAGUCCAGGACACAGAGGUUUUUCACUCUUACACGUUAGGUUCUAUGCUCUCAGAAGAACUUCGACUCGUGAAGCCCACCUUCCUCCAGCACUGCAGGUCAGAUUGUUCUCAGAGAGUGCUGUGUGUUUUGCCGUAAAGGACAGCACUCCGAAAGACGGCUCUGGGGAUGUGGGAAAGCAGAAGAAUGCAGCAGACCCUGGGAAGAGAUCUGUAGGUUCAGGAGGAUCAGGGAAAGGAGGGAGUCAGCUACGUUGCCCCAGAUGUGGAGACACGUGCACACAUGUGGAGACAUUUGUGUCAUUCACACGUUUUGUGAAAUGUGAAAAAUGUCAUCACUUCUUUGUGGUGCUUUCUGAAAGCGACUCUAAGAAAGGUCUGCAUAAAGAGGCAGAAUCUCUGAAACUGGAGGCAGAAGCUGUUAAACUGGCAUUUGCUCAGAACCCCCCCCCACCCCCUAAAAAGAUCUAUGCCUACCUCGAUAACUACGUUGUUGGUCAGUCAUAUGCGAAGAAGGUGCUGUCAGUUGCAGUGUAUAACCACUACAAACGAAUCUACAGCAACCUUCCAGCAUCAAGUGGACAGCAGGUGGGGACAGAGAAGCAGAGCUCUCUCACUGCCCAGGAGCCAGAGAUCAGAAGAAGGGAAGAUGAAUACAGAUUUACAAAGCUUCAGAUCACUGGGAUCAGCCCACAUGGCAAUGCUCUUGGUGCGUCCAUUCAACAACAGGCUACUCAACAAACUACAGUGGAGAAGAGGGGUAGUGACGUGCUGAACCUCUCCCACAGUACCAUCAAACUGGAGAAGAGUAACAUUGUGCUGCUAGGACCGACUGGAUCGGGUAAAACACUUUUAGCACAGACUCUGGCUCGGUGUUUGGAUGUUCCCUUUGCCAUCUGUGACUGUACCACGCUGACCCAGGCCGGCUACGUAGGUGAGGAUAUUGAGUCGGUCAUUGCCAAGCUGCUGCAGGAUGCCAACUACUCAGUGGAGAAAGCCCAGCAAGGGAUAGUGUUUCUGGAUGAGGUGGAUAAGAUUGGUAGUGUUCCAGGAAUACACCAGCUCAGAGAUGUAGGAGGAGAAGGUGUCCAGCAGGGUUUGUUGAAGCUUAUGGAAGGCACCAUUGUGAACGUUCCAGAAAAGAACAGUAGGAAGUUGCGAGGUGAAACAGUGCAAGUGGACACAACCAACAUCCUGUUUGUGGCAUCGGGAGCCUUCAAUGGUCUGGACCGGAUCAUUAGCAGAAGGAAGAAUGAGAAGUACCUUGGAUUUGGCUCGCCAUCUAACCUGGGGAAGGGCCGGCGUGCGGCAGCGGCCACUGACCUGGCCAAUAGCUCAGGCAGUGAGCUGGAUGUGGUGGCUGAGAUGGAGGAGAAGGAUCAGCUCUUGAGACAUGUAGAGGCACGAGACCUCAUAGAGUUUGGCAUGAUUCCUGAGUUUGUAGGGCGUCUCCCCGUUGUAGUGCCUUUGCACAGCCUGGACGAGCAAACACUAGUGCGCAUUCUCACUGAGCCUCGGAAUGCUGUUGUGCCUCAGUACCAGGCCCUCUUCAGCAUGGAUAAGGUCCUCUCUCUUUCUGCAUUUCUCUUCUUCUGUCUCACAUACACAGACAAAACAUACCUUUUUCUGCUGAAAGGUCAAGUGGACCGUUUCAGUAAACCUGUACUCACUGUAGCCUCAGAUACUGUUGUAGCUCAUCUGCCUCCAAAUUCAAUGCUUUUAUGCUCACCACGUUUGUAAAGAGUGGAUAUUUUCACACACUACUGGUUGUGAAAAUCCAAGGAGAUUAUCAGAUUCUGAAAUACCCUGACCAGCCUGUUUUUCACCACCCCAACAUGGUCAAAGUCAAUGAGGCCACUCUCCAUUCUGAUGUUUAAUAUGAACUUAUUAUGUGUUACACUGCUGCCACAUGAUUGGCUGAUUGAAUAAUUGCUUUAAUGAAUAUGCGUACAGGUGUACUAAAGUGGUCUGAGAGCGUAUAUGUCAUAACCUUACCUGUAACAGUGUGGAAAAUAUUUAGAUGCACUUCUUCUAUCUCUGUAUAUGCUAUAGUAAUGCAGGAGGUAGAUCUAGAUGUAAAAAUAACCACCAAUUCUCUUUGCGUUUUUUGUCAUCCGUUAUAUAAGCUGUGAUGUCUGAUACCCUGUGUUUCAGUGUGAGCUGAAUGUGACUCCAGAUGCACUCGGGGCCAUUGCCAGACUGGCUCUUGAGAGGAAGACUGGAGCCAGAGGCCUCCGAUCCAUCAUGGAACAGAGCUUUAAAUAAAGAGACCUCAGAGGAGGAGUAUGACAGUGGGAUUGAAG